RNAcentral lists this long non-coding RNA (487 nucleotides) under Equus asinus (donkey). Its description in RNAcentral is "lncRNA (ENSEASG00005037052.1)". Lineage: Eukaryota; Metazoa; Chordata; Mammalia; Perissodactyla; Equidae. The record is from RNAcentral.
AGACAGGCUGGUGCGAAAGCUCUGACCAGCAGGGCCAUAUGCUCCCCCUCCCCUACCUAAAACCCCAAAUAAAAACCCUUCCUUUUAGCUUUUCGGGGAGUUUGGGAUUUGAGCGUUAGCUGCCCUCUCUCCUUGCUCAGCGCUGUGCAAACGAUAAAAGUCCUACUUUCUUCCACCACACCUGGUGUCAGAGAUUGGUUUGCUGCGCAACGGUUCAAGUUCUACAGUAUCACAUCAUCAGUGCCCCAGGAGCCUCAGAUGGAGAGCUUUUUUCCUUUGUAUUGCUGUCCUCUGCUGGACAUUACGACACUCACAGAGCCAUAAAGUGACCCAUACAUUGUGACCCUCCCCUCCCACAACCUCCUAAACCAGAGACAAUCAACAGCUUUGGAGCAUCUGCUGAGGGAGGCAGGCAGCGCGGCAGGAAGAGUCCUGCUCUGGAGAAACAAGAGACUCAAGGUCUGGUCUGGACUUGCUGCUAACUCAG